UGGGGAAUAUUGGACAAUGGGCGAAAGCCUGAUCCAGCCAUGCCGCGUGUGUGAAGAAGGUCUUCGGAUUGUAAAGCACUUUAAGUUGGGAGGAAGGGCAGUAAGCGAAUACCUUGCUGUUUUGACGUUACCGACAGAAUAAGCACCGGCUAACUCUGUGCCAGCAGCCGCGGUAAUACAGAGGGUGCAAGCGUUAAUCGGAAUUACUGGGCGUAAAGCGCGCGUAGGUGGUUCGUUAAGUUGAAUGUGAAAGCCCCGGGCUCAACCUGGGAACUGCAUCCAAAACUGGCGAGCUAGAGUAGGGCAGAGGGUGGUGAAUUUCCUGUGUAGCGGUGAAAUGCGUAGAUAUAGGAAGGAACACCAGUGGCGAAGGCGACCACCUGGGCUCAUACUGACACUGAGGUGCGAAAGCGGGGGGAGCAAACAGG
RNAcentral lists this ribosomal RNA (428 nucleotides) under Pseudomonadota bacterium. RNAcentral's name for it is "Proteobacteria bacterium partial 16S ribosomal RNA". It matches the Rfam family "Bacterial small subunit ribosomal RNA", at positions 355 to 776 of the family's 1533-position model. The record is from RNAcentral. Lineage: Bacteria; Pseudomonadati; Pseudomonadota.